AAUAUAAGUGGACAGAGCAUCCGGUUUCGAAAAGUGCAACCACUGCGGAAGUAACUUAAACCUGCAUUCUAUCUGAAUUCCUGCAGAGGGCGACACGCGUGGUUGCAAAAGAGGUCGGUUUCUAUAGAAGUCUAUGGAGAAAUGAGCCACUUCUCACUUGAUUUAUUACCUCAGUAAACAUCUUCAUAAUGAGUUUAUGGUCUCGAUCGCUAGUUCUAAGUAUUCUGCAAUAGAGAAUUAUAUUCAUUUUUGAAAUUCCGGUCUCGUUGAUUUUAAAAUCGGCGAAAAAGCCGGGGGUGUUACAGGGCGUGGCUAUGAUGUGAUUGACAGUUCUCGGCCUGUCAAUCAUGACAGAGUGUUAGCAAAGCUUGUCCACGGCACGUGAACUUCAUUUUGGGGGUUGACUAUGUUUCAUCCUUGUGGCUGUGACACUUUGGUCGGAUAAUAAUGUCUUGUUCAGCGGUCGGUUGCAUGGCAAGACACUCAAAGGAAUCGCCACCUAAGUUUUUCCGACUUCCUUUUGAUGUGCCAGGCUGAAGCAAUGGUUGGUGAACAUGAGGAGAGUGACCAGAAAAUGGACCCACGAAAAGCCACGUCUGCAGUUCACACUUUGAGGAAGAUCAGUUUUUUAGAGACAACCAGGUAUCCACACUGAAAACUGAAUGAGCAGAGCCUCCAGAAGGAAGACCUGGUGUAUAGAGCCUCCAGAAGGAAGACCUGGUGUACAGAGCGGUGUAUUUGGUGCCAUUUCAUUUGGAUGUGGAAACCAGACUGCGUUGACCACAUCCAAAGUUCUCAAAUGUGUUCUGAUUAUAAUAAUGCCAGAAAAUCAUUCUUCUGCUGAAAGGAUGGACAAACAUUUAGCACUUGGUAGUUAGAGGUUCAAUUUAUUGUGGUUGACUUAGUUUCUGCUGUAGUUUGAUAGUUGAUAGUAGUAACGUUAAUUAGUUGUGUGGAUUAAAACUUUUAUAAAUAUUAAACUGGAAUAAAAUAAUGAAUACACUCUAGCAGUCACCACUUUCACAGGUGAAAGUAUGUUUGGUAAUUUCACAUAAAGGGUCUUGUAUUUUUUAUGUAUUUAUGUACUGUUAGAAUUAAAUAUUGACAUUGC
Molecule: long non-coding RNA, 1111 nt
Organism: Etheostoma cragini (Arkansas darter)
Lineage: Eukaryota; Metazoa; Chordata; Actinopteri; Perciformes; Percidae
Exons: 3
Source: RefSeq, a predicted model, not a curated record